This 253-nucleotide ribosomal RNA is filed under the name uncultured bacterium. RNAcentral's name for it is "partial 16S ribosomal RNA". It matches the Rfam family "Bacterial small subunit ribosomal RNA", at positions 524 to 776 of the family's 1533-position model. The record is from RNAcentral.
UACGAACCGUCCAAACGUUAUUCGGAUUCAUUGGGCUUAAAGGGUACGUAGGCGGCCCUGUUAGUCGGGUGUGAAAUCCCUCGGCUCAACCGAGGAACUGCGCCCGAUACUGCAGGGCUUGAGGGAGACAGAGGUAGGCGGAACUGAUGGUGGAGCGGUGAAAUGCGUUGAUAUCAUCAGGAACACCAGUGGCGAAAGCGGCUUACUGGGUCUCUUCUGACGCUGAGGUACGAAAGCUAGGGGGGCGAACGGG